GAUGAACGCUGGCGGCGUGCUUAACACAUUGCAAGUCGAACGAAGCACUUUACUACGAUUUCUUCGGAAUGACGGUUUGUGACUGAGUGGCGGACGGGUGAGUAACGCGUGGAUAACCUGCCUCAUACAGGGGGAUAACAGCCGGAAACGGCUGCUAAUACCGCAUAAGCGCACGGUACCGCAUGGUACAGUGUGAAAAACUCCGGUGGUAUGGGAUGGAUCCGCGUCUGAUUAGCCAGUUGGCGGGGUAACGGCCCACCAAAGCGACGAUCAGUAGCCGACCUGAGAGGGUGACCGGCCACAUUGGGACUGAGACACGGCCCAGACUCCUACGGGAGGCAGCAGUGGGGGAUAUUGCACAAUGGGGGAAACCCUGAUGCAGCGACGCCGCGUGGAGGAAGAAGGUUUUCGGAUUGUAAACUCCUGUCGUUAGGGACGAUAAUGACGGUACCUAACAAGAAAGCACCGGCUAACUACGUG
RNAcentral lists this ribosomal RNA (480 nucleotides) under uncultured bacterium. Its description in RNAcentral is "bacterial SSU rRNA". It matches the Rfam family "Bacterial small subunit ribosomal RNA", at positions 28 to 507 of the family's 1533-position model. The record is from RNAcentral.